UCGAAGUAGAGCUUAAAUUAGAACAGCAUUUCAUUUACGUUGGAGAGGGUUAUCGUGCAAAUCGAUUUAUUUCGAG
RNAcentral lists this transfer RNA (76 nucleotides) under Atelecyclus undecimdentatus. RNAcentral's name for it is "transfer RNA-Val". The record is from RNAcentral. Lineage: Eukaryota; Metazoa; Arthropoda; Malacostraca; Decapoda; Atelecyclidae.